Molecule: non-coding RNA, 74 nt
Organism: Podarcis lilfordi (Lilford's wall lizard)
Lineage: Eukaryota; Metazoa; Chordata; Lepidosauria; Squamata; Lacertidae
Source: the annotation of a GenBank genome assembly
GCCUGGAUAGCUCAGUUAAUUAGAGCAUGGUGCUGAUCUUGCCAAAGCUGCAAGUUCGAUUCCCGUUUGGGACA